CCUACGGGUGGCAGCAGUGGGGAAUAUUGGACAAUGGGCGAAAGCCUGAUCCAGCCAUGCCGCGUGUGUGAAGAAGGCCUUCGGGUUGUAAAGCACUUUCAGUGGGGAAGAAAGCCUUGGGGCUAAUACCCUCGAGGAAGGACAUCACCCACAGAAGAAGCACCGGCUAACUCCGUGCCAGCAGCCGCGGUAAUACGGAGGGUGCGAGCGUUAAUCGGAAUUACUGGGCGUAAAGCGCGCGUAGGCGGUCUGAUAAGCCGGUUGUGAAAGCCCCGGGCUCAACCUGGGAACGGCAUCCGGAACUGUCAGGCUAGAGUGCAGGAGAGGAAGGUAGAAGUCCCGGUGUAGCGGUGAAAUGCGUAGAGAUCGGGAGGAAUACCAGUGGCGAAGGCGGCCUUCUGGACUGACACUGACGCUGAGGUGCGAAAGCGUGGGUAGCAAACAGGAUUAGAUACCCGUGUAGUC
This 465-nucleotide ribosomal RNA is filed under the name Vreelandella stevensii. RNAcentral describes it as "partial 16S ribosomal RNA". It matches the Rfam family "Bacterial small subunit ribosomal RNA", at positions 338 to 795 of the family's 1533-position model. The record is from RNAcentral. Lineage: Bacteria; Pseudomonadati; Pseudomonadota; Gammaproteobacteria; Oceanospirillales; Halomonadaceae.